GGGGUUGUGGCUCAGCGGUAGAGCACUUGCCUAGCAUGUGUGAGGCCCUGGGUUCAAUCCUCAGCACCA
Molecule: transfer RNA, 69 nt
Organism: Ictidomys tridecemlineatus (thirteen-lined ground squirrel)
Lineage: Eukaryota; Metazoa; Chordata; Mammalia; Rodentia; Sciuridae
Rfam family: tRNA
About the family: Transfer RNA (tRNA) molecules are approximately 80 nucleotides in length. Their secondary structure includes four short double-helical elements and three loops (D, anti-codon, and T loops).
Source: Rfam